UACAGAGGGUGCGAGCGUUGUCCGGAAUCACUGGGCGUAAAGGGCGCGUAGGCGGCUUGAUAAGCGUGCGGUGAAAGCCCGGGGCUCAACCCCGGGUCGGCCGUGCGAACUGUCGAGCUGGAGCACUGUAGAGGCAGGUGGAAUUCCGGGUGUAGCGGUGGAAUGCGUAGAGAUCCGGAAGAACACCGGUGGCGAAGGCGGGUCUGCUGGGCAGUUGCUGACACUGAGGCGCGACAGGCGUGGGGAGCAAACAGG
This 255-nucleotide ribosomal RNA is filed under the name uncultured bacterium. RNAcentral's name for it is "partial 16S ribosomal RNA". It matches the Rfam family "Bacterial small subunit ribosomal RNA", at positions 524 to 776 of the family's 1533-position model. The record is from RNAcentral.